Long non-coding RNA from Mytilus californianus (California mussel), 915 nucleotides. RefSeq lists it as uncharacterized. The transcript is spliced from 3 exons. Lineage: Eukaryota; Metazoa; Mollusca; Bivalvia; Mytilida; Mytilidae. The record is from RefSeq and is a predicted model, not a curated record.
AGGUACGGUCAUCGAAAAAGGUUGUAAUUUUUAUCUGCUACAGAUGCUGUUGGGAAAUUUCUGUACAUUUACCAUUUUGCCAUUGUUAGUGGCUGUGCAUGUUCAGAAUGAGUAUGAUCCUGUUGUUUUAAAGGAUUGCUAUUCGUACGAAAAUAUGGACCAUUUCCUUACCAUGGGAACCUUGGAACAGAUCAGAUGUUUACAGAAGUAUAUGUAUACCUUUAGUAAUGGUAUUCUCCGACACGAACUGAAUGAUUUACUUCAAAUCCCUGUCAGCAUGGCGUAUUUACGGAAUGGUGGGAAACAAAUGUUGGACAUCUUACCAAUAAUUGAAAGGAAAACCUAUGAUCUUCGUCCAGAAGCGUUCAAACACCUUAUGGGUUUGAUAAAGAAUCGGGCCAAAAGGUCAGAGAGACAUAAAUUAAAAAUCGGUCAUACACACCAUCCACCAUCCGAUCUCGAGCAGAUUGCUCAGGACAUUGUUCAAGAUUCACCUGCGCCUAAUAUUACGAAACCGUUCCCCAUUCAUUGGAACUCAACAGACACAAGAACGAUUCGUAAUGCCUCGGCUGAUACCUCAAGUUCUUUGGACCAAGCUGUCAAUGUCGAAAACUUAGUGAAACAUCUAAAUAAACAUCGCUCAUGAGGAUUUCAUAAAUCUGAUCGACUUUCAACAAGUUGGUACCGUGCCUACUUGCGACAAGAUGUAAAAUAUUAAAAUCCGUGUAUAUUUUAAAAUGUGCUGCGACAGAAAACAUUAAUAUGAUACAUUAUCAUGCUUAAGGCAAUUGCAAAUUAUGUAAUUACUUAUUUAUGGUCGGGAUGAUUUUAAAAAGGAGUAUUAAUAAAAUUACAAAAAAUGCAAUUAUCCACUUAAUAAAUAUUUAAUAAAUAUAAACAAAACAAAAUAAUAAA